Capsella rubella is the source of this 1871-nucleotide RNA transcript. RefSeq lists it as uncharacterized. The transcript is spliced from 3 exons. NCBI's taxonomy places the organism in Eukaryota, Viridiplantae, Streptophyta, Magnoliopsida, Brassicales, Brassicaceae. The record is from RefSeq and is a predicted model, not a curated record.
CUCUACACUCUUUUUACAUUUGGUCCCUAUAAUAUUGCUUCUUCUUCUUCUUCCAUUUUUCUUUUAUAUCGGAUAUUCGUCUCUUCCACAGAACAGAGAAAAGAGCAAUAACGUAAAAGUGUGAAGAAACCAAGUAAAGAGAAGAGAACAGUUAUGGGGCAAUGCUCAUCGACGACAAGGACGAGGAGAAGAAAGAGGAAAAGGCAAGAAGAAGGUUGCAGAGAAUCAAUGGGGAGGAAUAAAGGAUGUUUAGCGAUGGUCAAGGAGAGGCGUUCUAGGUUUUAUAUCGCCCGACGAUGUGUUCUUAUGUUGCUUUGUUGGCACAAAUACGCCAAUUCUUGAUGAGGUUUGUGUUAGACCAUCAUCAACGCUGGGUUAUUAGGCUAAUCUUAUGUGAUUCUUAGGUAAAUUUAGGAUUAAAUUUAAAUCAAAAUACAAUUAAAAUCAUAAGAUCCGUAUAUUAUAUAAGAUCAAAAUGAGGGUGGAAGAGGUGUAUACGUGGCAAGCAUCGAUUGGCUUUGAUGAUAAAUAUAUAAAUCAUUUUUUUCCUUUUUUUCAUUUUUCUUUCUUCUCUCUCUCUCUCUCUCUCUCUCUCUCUCUCUGUUCGCGAAAAAGAGAAACGAAGAGCGAUUUCUUCGAUUCUUCCGUAAUCCGACGAUGAAGCCGGAAUGAGUCAUCGCCGGCCAUCGUUUCCGGUAGAUGAUGAAGACGACUGAUUCCCUUUCUCCGCGGCGGCUGAAGUUGACCUAAUCGACGAGCAAAGGAAAUCGAAAUCGGCUGAAGUACACCAUAUCGAUUCAAAAUCGGCUUCGGUUGUUCGAAAUCAGAGUCUUGGGAGUACUAUUCGGCAGUACAACGUAUGUAUUUGGUUCUGAUUGUUAGAAUUGAACUGAUUUUAAGUUUUAACAAAUUAGGGUUCUUGCUAUUUGGGAAAUUAGGGUUUCGUGAUUUGGGGGAAAUGGGAUAUUCGUUGUUAAGGCGUUAAUUAAGGUAAUUAAGCAACGAUUUGAGUGUGUGUAUGUAUUGUAAGGUAUGAUUUUUUGAUAAACUAAGGUUGAUUAAAUCCGAUGGUUGCUAGGAAACGUUUUUCUUUGGUGUGGUUCAAAUUUUCGAUAAUUAUGAAGGUGGAUCCUUAUUGUAUUCAUGAAUAAAUAGUAUUUGGUUGAUAGUUAGGUAUAGUAGAGAUGUUUAGGUUUGAAAUGUUACAUGAUUCGAUUUUGUCUUAUGAAUCUGACUUUUUGUUAUGUGUUAUAUGCGAGGACUGGCGAUUUGAGCAAGAAGUAUCAAAUGGUUUGCUAUAGAAAAGUCAAACAAGCCCAGAGAUUGAAUCCGAGAUGUGAGAUGCUUCUGCUAGGGUAGGGAUGAGAUAUGAGGAGAUAAUUCAGAGCUGCAAAGAUAAGCUACAAUCUGAUUCACGGACAGCAAAGGACAUCAUCACAUACACAACAAAUUAGAUUAACGGACAGCACAUGCCUUCUCAUCACAGCAACCACAAGACACAACAAGACACCACAUGCCUUCUCAUCACAGCAACCACAAGACACAACAAGACACCACAUGCCUUCUCAUCACAUCAACCACAAGACACAACAAGAUUCACGGACAUGCCUUCUCAUCACAGCAACCACAAGACACAACAAGAUUCACGGACAUGCCUUCUCAUCACGGACAGCACAUACACAACAAGACUUAUGGAGAUAGUUUUCUAUAUAUACAUCCGUGUUUGUGUAGUUUUUAUACAUUCUCUAUUUUUAUGUUCAUGUCAUUCAUAUCUUCCUUUGUAAUUCAAUCUCUCAAAAAUAAUUCUUCUCUUCCUUUGAAAAAUAAUUGAGCCCAUCUUUUACAUUAAAACUCUUUCUUUGUACUUCAAA